This 301-nucleotide ribosomal RNA is filed under the name uncultured bacterium. Its description in RNAcentral is "partial 16S ribosomal RNA". It matches the Rfam family "Bacterial small subunit ribosomal RNA", at positions 509 to 807 of the family's 1533-position model. The record is from RNAcentral.
CAGCCGCCGCGGUAACACGUAGGCGGCAAGCGUUGUCCGGAAUUAUUGGGCGUAAAGGGCUCGCAGGCGGUUUCUUAAGUCUGAUGUGAAAGCCCCCGGCUCAACCGGGGAGGGUCAUUGGAAACUGGGAAACUUGAGUGCAGAAGAGGAGAGUGGAAUUCCACGUGUAGCGGUGAAAUGCGUAGAGAUGUGGAGGAACACCAGUGGCGAAGGCGACUCUCUGGUCUGUAACUGACGCUGAGGAGCGAAAGCGUGGGGAGCGAACAGGAUUAGAUACCCGCGUAGUCCCUGUCUCUUAUAC